GACGAACCACACGAACGUUAUUCGGAAUCACUGGGCUUAAAGGGUGCGUAGGCGGCGCGGAAAGUAGGGUGUGAAAUCCCUCGGCUCAACCGAGGAACUGCGCUCUAAACUACCGUGCUCGAGGGAGGUAGAGGUGAGCGGAACUUAGGGUGGAACGGUGAAAUGUGUUGAUAUCCUAAGGAACACCGGUGGCGAAAGCGGCUCACUGGAUCUCUUCUGACGCUGAGGCACGAAAGCUAGGGUAGCGAACGGG
This 253-nucleotide ribosomal RNA is filed under the name uncultured bacterium. RNAcentral's name for it is "partial 16S ribosomal RNA". It matches the Rfam family "Bacterial small subunit ribosomal RNA", at positions 524 to 776 of the family's 1533-position model. RNAcentral also lists the same sequence under 1 other name. The record is from RNAcentral.